RNAcentral lists this ribosomal RNA (253 nucleotides) under uncultured bacterium. Its description in RNAcentral is "partial 16S ribosomal RNA". It matches the Rfam family "Bacterial small subunit ribosomal RNA", at positions 524 to 776 of the family's 1533-position model. The record is from RNAcentral.
UACGUAGGGUGCGAGCGUUAAUCGGAAUUACUGGGCGUAAAGCGUGCGCAGGCGGUUCGCCAAGUCAGGUGUGAAAUCCCCGGGCUUAACCUGGGAAUUGCGCUUGAAACUAGCGGGCUUGAGUGUGGCAGAGGGGGGUGGAAUUCCACGUGUAGCAGUGAAAUGCGUAGAGAUGUGGAGGAACACCGAUGGCGAAGGCAGCACCCUGGGUCAACACUGACGCUCAUGCACGAAAGCGUGGGGAGCAAACAGG